AAUGCCGGAGGUGGGAAAAUUCGUUGCACCCACACACCUUAUGGGUUAAAAGAGAUGCAGUAGAAAGCGACGGCUGCCCGGCAUU
RNAcentral lists this non-coding RNA (85 nucleotides) under unclassified sequences. RNAcentral describes it as "skipping-rope RNA". It matches the Rfam family "skipping-rope RNA". Rfam says of the family: Firmicutes, Fusobacteria, AlphaProteobacteria, Spirochaetes. The record is from Rfam by way of RNAcentral.